AUUGAACGCUGGCGGCAGGCCUAACACAUGCAAGUCGAGAGGAGCGGCGGACGGGAGAGUAAUGCCUAGGAAUCUGCCUGGUAGUGGGGGAUAACGUCCGGAAACGGGCGCUACUACAGAAUCCUAUUAGAUGAGCAUAGGUCGGAUUAGCUAGUGGGUGGGGUAAAGGCCUACCAAGGCGACGAUCCGUAAGUGGUCGGAGAGGAUGAUCAGUAACACUGGAACUGAGACACGGUCCAGACUCCUACGGGAGGCAGCAGUGGGGAAUAUUGGACAAUGGGCGAAAUCCUGAUCCAGCCAUGCCGCGUGUGGGAAGAAGGUCUUCGGAUUGUAAUGCACUUUAAGUUGGGAGGCGUUACCAACAGAGUAAGCACCGGCUAACUUCGUGCCAGCAGCCGCGGUAAUUC
RNAcentral lists this ribosomal RNA (407 nucleotides) under uncultured bacterium. RNAcentral's name for it is "partial 16S ribosomal RNA". It matches the Rfam family "Bacterial small subunit ribosomal RNA", at positions 30 to 526 of the family's 1533-position model. The record is from RNAcentral.